GGGUUGUGAGGUUAAGCGACUAAGCGUACACGGUGGAUGCCCUGGCAGUCAGAGGCGAUGAAGGACGUGCUAAUCUGCGAAAAGCGUCGGUAAGGUGAUAUGAACCGUUACAGCCGGCGAUGUCCGAAUGGGGAAACCCAGUGCAAUUCGUUGCACUAUCGUUAACUGAAUACAUAGGUUAACGAGGCGAACCGGGGGAACUGAAACAUCUAAGUACCCCGAGGAAAAGAAAUCAACCGAGAUUCCCCCAGUAGCGGCGAGCGAACGGGGAGCAGCCCAGAGUCUGAAUCAGCUUGUGUGUUAGUGGAACGGUCUGGAAAGUCCGACGGUACAGGGUGAUAGUCCCGUACACCAAAAUGCACAGGCUGUGAACUCGAAGAGUAGGGCGGGACACGUGGUAUCCUGUCUGAAUAUGGGGGGACCAUCCUCCAAGGCUAAAUACUCCUGACUGACCGAUAGUGAACCAGUACCGUGAGGGAAAGGCGAAAAGAACCCCGGCGAGGGGAGUGAAAAAGAACCUGAAACCGUGUACGUACAAGCAGUGGGAGCACCUUCGGGUGUGACUGCGUACCUUUUGUAUAAUGGGUCAGCGACUUAUAUUCUGUAGCAAGGUUAACCGUAUAGGGGAGCCGCAGGGAAACCGAGUCUUAACUGGGCGUUAAGUUGCAGGGUAUAGACCCGAAACCCGGUGAUCUAGCCAUGGGCAGGUUGAAGGUUGGGUAACACUAACUGGAGGACCGAACCGACUAAUGUUGAAAAAUUAGCGGAUGACUUGUGGCUGGGGGUGAAAGGCCAAUCAAACCGGGAGAUAGCUGGUUCUCCCCGAAAGCUAUUUAGGUAGCGCCUCGUGAACUCAUCUUCGGGGGUAGAGCACUGUUUCGGCUAGGGGGUCAUCCCGACUUACCAACCCGAUGCAAACUACGAAUACCGAAGAAUGUUAUCACGGGAGACACACGGCGGGUGCUAACGUCCGUCGUGAAGAGGGAAACAACCCAGACCGCCAGCUAAGGUCCCAAAGUCAUGGUUAAGUGGGAAACGAUGUGGGAAGGCACAGACAGCCAGGAUGUUGGCUUAGAAGCAGCCAUCAUUUAAAGAAAGCGUAAUAGCUCACUGGUCGAGUCGGCCUGCGCGGAAGAUGUAACGGGGCUAAACCAUGCACCGAAGCUGCGGCAGCGACACUAUGUGUUGUUGGGUAGGGGAGCGUUCUGUAAGCCUGCGAAGGUGUGCUGUGAGGCAUGCUGGAGGUAUCAGAAGUGCGAAUGCUGACAUAAGUAACGAUAAAGCGGGUGAAAAGCCCGCUCGCCGGAAGACCAAGGGUUCCUGUCCAACGUUAAUCGGGGCAGGGUGAGUCGACCCCUAAGGCGAGGCCGAAAGGCGUAGUCGAUGGGAAACAGGUUAAUAUUCCUGUACUUGGUGUUACUGCGAAGGGGGGACGGAGAAGGCUAUGUUAGCCGGGCGACGGUUGUCCCGGUUUAAGCAUGUAGGCUGAUUGUCCAGGCAAAUCCGGAUAAUCAAGGCUGAGGUGUGAUGACGAGGCACUACGGUGCUGAAGUAACAAAUGCCCUGCUUCCAGGAAAAGCCUCUAAGCAUCAGGUAACAUCAAAUCGUACCCCAAACCGACACAGGUGGUCAGGUAGAGAAUACCAAGGCGCUUGAGAGAACUCGGGUGAAGGAACUAGGCAAAAUGGUGCCGUAACUUCGGGAGAAGGCACGCUGGUGUGUAGGUGAAGUCCCUGCGGAUGGAGCUGAGACCAGUCGAAGAUACCAGCUGGCUGCAACUGUUUAUUAAAAACACAGCACUGUGCAAACACGAAAGUGGACGUAUACGGUGUGACGCCUGCCCGGUGCCGGAAGGUUAAUUGAUGGGGUUAUCCGUAAGGAGAAGCUCUUGAUCGAAGCCCCGGUAAACGGCGGCCGUAACUAUAACGGUCCUAAGGUAGCGAAAUUCCUUGUCGGGUAAGUUCCGACCUGCACGAAUGGCGUAAUGAUGGCCAGGCUGUCUCCACCCGAGACUCAGUGAAAUUGAACUCGCUGUGAAGAUGCAGUGUACCCGCGGCAAGACGGAAAGACCCCGUGAACCUUUACUAUAGCUUGACACUGAACAUUGAGCCUUGAUGUGUAGGAUAGGUGGGAGGCUUUGAAGCGUGGACGCCAGUCUGCGUGGAGCCAACCUUGAAAUACCACCCUUUAAUGUUUGAUGUUCUAACGUUGGCCCCUGACCGGGGUUGCGGACAGUGUCUGGUGGGUAGUUUGACUGGGGCGGUCUCCUCCCAAAGCGUAACGGAGGAGCACGAAGGUUAGCUAAUCCUGGUCGGACAUCAGGAGGUUAGUGCAAUGGCAUAAGCUAGCUUGACUGCGAGCGUGACGGCGCGAGCAGGUGCGAAAGCAGGUCAUAGUGAUCCGGUGGUUCUGAAUGGAAGGGCCAUCGCUCAACGGAUAAAAGGUACUCCGGGGAUAACAGGCUGAUACCGCCCAAGAGUUCAUAUCGACGGCGGUGUUUGGCACCUCGAUGUCGGCUCAUCACAUCCUGGGGCUGAAGUAGGUCCCAAGGGUAUGGCUGUUCGCCAUUUAAAGUGGUACGCGAGCUGGGUUUAGAACGUCGUGAGACAGUUCGGUCCCUAUCUGCCGUGGGCGCUGGAGAAUUGAGGGGGGCUGCUCCUAGUACGAGAGGACCGGAGUGGACGCAUCACUGGUGUUCGGGUUGUCAUGCCAAUGGCACUGCCCGGUAGCUAAAUGCGGAAGAGAUAAGUGCUGAAAGCAUCUAAGCACGAAACUUGCCCCGAGAUGAGUUCUCCCUGAGACUAUAAGUCUCCUGAAGGAACGUUAAAGACGAUGACGUUGAUAGGCCGGGUGUGUAAGCGCAGCGAUGCGUUGAGCUAACCGGUACUAAUGAACCGUGAGGCUUAACCUUACAACGCCGAAG
RNAcentral lists this ribosomal RNA (2923 nucleotides) under Klebsiella pneumoniae. RNAcentral's name for it is "bacterial LSU rRNA". It matches the Rfam family "Bacterial large subunit ribosomal RNA". The record is from RNAcentral. Lineage: Bacteria; Pseudomonadati; Pseudomonadota; Gammaproteobacteria; Enterobacterales; Enterobacteriaceae.